UUUCAAUCAUAGUAACUUUGUUUUCAAAACCAAAAUAUCAUUCUGUCACAGUUGUUGUUAUCGCAAAUGAAAUUCUCUGUUCUUCUGAAACACCAAAUCGGUGUUGCCAAACAGGUUCACAUAGAUUGAGUGGGUCAUCGAUGGCGAUAAGCUGUUUGCUGCCCGCUCUUUGCAUCUGCUGCUAGAAAAAAGAUUCUUACUGUCACUAUUUGACCACUUGUGAAGAACUAAUGCGUGUACCAAAAGAAAUGGAUUAAACUUAUUAUUUUUUGAUUGGCUUCCGAA
Molecule: long non-coding RNA, 285 nt
Filed under: Aedes aegypti (yellow fever mosquito)
Lineage: Eukaryota; Metazoa; Arthropoda; Insecta; Diptera; Culicidae
Description: lncRNA AAEL021958
Source: RNAcentral